UUACGGCCAUAUCACUUUGAAACAGCUCUCCUCGUACGAUCAGCGAAGUUAAGCAACGUUGAGCCUGGUCAGUACCUAGAUGGGUGCCCGCUUGGGUAUACCAGGUGCUGUAAG
Molecule: non-coding RNA, 114 nt
Organism: Acanthosepion pharaonis
Lineage: Eukaryota; Metazoa; Mollusca; Cephalopoda; Sepiida; Sepiidae
Source: the annotation of a GenBank genome assembly